UGGGGAAUCUUGCACAAUGGGCGAAAGCCUGAUGCAGCAACGCCGCGUGCGGGAAGACAGCCCUAGGGUUGUAAACCGCUUUCAGCAGGGAAGAAACUGACGGUACCUGCAGAAGAAGAUGCGGCCAACUACGUGCCAGCAGCCGCGGUGACACGUAGGCAUCAAGCGUUAUCCGGAUUUAUUGGGCGUAAAGAGCUCGUAGGCGGUUCGGUAAGUCGGGUGUGAAAACUCUGGGCUCAACCCAGAGAGGCCACUCGAUACUGCUGUGACUAGAGUGCGGUAGGGGAGCGGGGAAUUCCUGGUGUAGCGGUGAAAUGCGCAGAUAUCAGGAGGAACACCAGUGGCGAAGGCGCCGCUCUGGGCCGUAACUGACGCUGAGGAGCGAAAGCAUGGGUAGCAAACAGGAUUAGAUACCCUGGUAGUCCACACCGUAAACGAUGAAUGCCAGUCGUCGGGUAGCAUGCUAUUCGGUGACACACCUAACGGAUUAAGCAUUCCGCCUGGGAGUACGGUCGCAAGGUUAAAACGUCAAAGG
RNAcentral lists this ribosomal RNA (535 nucleotides) under uncultured bacterium. RNAcentral describes it as "bacterial SSU rRNA". It matches the Rfam family "Bacterial small subunit ribosomal RNA", at positions 355 to 907 of the family's 1533-position model. The record is from RNAcentral.